Molecule: ribosomal RNA, 246 nt
Filed under: uncultured bacterium
Lineage: Bacteria
Description: partial 16S ribosomal RNA
Rfam family: Bacterial small subunit ribosomal RNA
Source: RNAcentral
UGCCUUCAGGAUGGGGACAACAGACGGAAACGACUGCUAAUACCGAAUAAGUUCCAAGAGCCGCAUGGCCCAUGGAAGAAAAGGUGGCCUCUACCUGUAAGCUAUCGCCUGAAGAGGGGUUUGCGUCUGAUUAGCUGGUUGGAGGGGGUAACGGCCCACCAAGGCGACGAUCAGUAGCCGGUCUGAGAGGAUGAACGGCCACACUGGAACUGAGACACGGUCCAGACUCCUACGGGAGGCAGCAUG